GCCGGGUGUGGUGGCGCAUGCCUGUAAUCCCAGCUACUUGGGAGGCUGAGGCAGGAGAAUCGCUUGAACCUGGGAGGCAGAGGUUGCAGUGAGCCGAGAUCUCGCCACUGCACUCCAGCCUGGGCAACAGAGUGAGACCCUUUCUCAA
This 148-nucleotide non-coding RNA is filed under the name Homo sapiens (human). The record is from Rfam by way of RNAcentral. Lineage: Eukaryota; Metazoa; Chordata; Mammalia; Primates; Hominidae.